GCGCGAAAAUUCUACAAUGCACGCAAGUGUGAUAGAGGGAUUCAGAGUGCCUCCUGUUUUGCAGGGGGCUUUUCUAAAGUCCAAACAGCUUUAGGAAUAAGAGAUGGGUAAGACAGGUGCCAGCCGCCAUAUCGGUCGCUGUCACAUGUUGACGGUUACCAGUACGGUAAGCGGUAAUACCUGCGUCUCGAGUGGUGACCGCGCUUAUUGGGCUUAAAGCGUUCGUAGCUGGUUCGGAAAGUUCCUAAUGAAAUCUCAUGGUUGACUAUGGGGCUUGUUAGGGAAACUACCAGACUUGGGACCGGGAGAGGUCUGGGGUAUUGUAGGGGUAGGGGUUAAAUGCCUUGCUGGCAAGACAUGCCAGCAUAGCUGACAUUCCUGUAAUCCUUACAAGACCAUCUGUUGAUUUGAGUCCCGUUGGGGGCUCUUUUCAGGUGAUUGGCGAAGGCGCCAGACUGGAACGGAUCCGACAGUGAGGGACGAAAGCUAGGGGAGCAAAGGGGAUUAGAUACCCCCGUAGUCCUAGCCGUAAACGAUGCCCGUUAGACAUUGGGGCUCUUACGUGGGGCUUCAGAGUCGUAGGGGAACCGUUAAACGGGCCGCCUGGGGAGUACGUUCGCAAGGAUGAAACUUAAGGGAAUUGG
This 644-nucleotide ribosomal RNA is filed under the name uncultured euryarchaeote. Its description in RNAcentral is "bacterial SSU rRNA". It matches the Rfam family "Archaeal small subunit ribosomal RNA", at positions 339 to 868 of the family's 1478-position model. Lineage: Archaea; Methanobacteriati; Methanobacteriota. The record is from RNAcentral.